GAUGAACGCUGGCGGCAUGCCUAACACAUGCAAGUCGAUCGGUAAGGCUCUUCGGAGUACACGAGAGGCGGACGGCUGAGUAACGCGUAGGAACACACCCUGCAGUGACGGAUAAGACACCGAAAGGUGUUCUAAUACCGCAUACGGUCUUCGGAUUAAAGCAUUUAUGCGCUGAAGGAGUGGCCUGCGUCAUAUUAGAUAGUUGGUGAGGUAAUGGCUCACCAAGUCGAUGAUGUGUAGCUGGUCUGAGAGGAUGAUCAGCCAGACUGGAACUGAGACACGGUCCAGACUCCUACGGGAGGCAGCAGUGAGGAAUAUUUCACAAUGAGCGAAAGCUUGAUGGAGCAAUGCCGCGUGCAGGAUGAAGGCCCUCGGGUUGUAAACUGCUUUUAUAAGAGAAGAUUAUGACGGUAACUUAUGAAUAAGGGACGGCUAACUACGUG
Molecule: ribosomal RNA, 443 nt
Filed under: uncultured bacterium
Lineage: Bacteria
Description: partial 16S ribosomal RNA
Rfam family: Bacterial small subunit ribosomal RNA
Source: RNAcentral